This 925-nucleotide ribosomal RNA is filed under the name uncultured bacterium. RNAcentral's name for it is "bacterial SSU rRNA". It matches the Rfam family "Bacterial small subunit ribosomal RNA", at positions 85 to 1006 of the family's 1533-position model. The record is from RNAcentral.
CUGGUGGCGAGUGGCGAACGGGUGAGUAAUAUAUCGGAACAUACCCUAGAGUGGGGGAUAACGUAGCGAAAGUUACGCUAAUACCGCAUACGAACUAAGGUUGAAAGUGGGGGAUCUUCGGACCUCAUGCUCAUGGAGUGGCCGAUAUCUGAUUAGCUAGUUGGUGAGGUAAAGGCUCACCAAGGCGACGAUCAGUAGCUGGUUUGAGAGAACGACCAGCCACACCGGAACUGAGACACGGUCCAGACUCCUACGGGAGGCAGCAGUGGGGAAUUUUGGACAAUGGGCGCAAGCCUGAUCCAGCAAUGCCGCGUGAGUGAAGAAGGCCUUCGGGUUGUAAAGCUCUUUUGUCAGGGAAGAAACGGUGAGUCCUAAUACGGCUUGCUAAUGACGGUACCUGAAGAAUAAGCACCGGCUAACUACGUGCCAGCAGCCGCGGUAAUACGUAGGGUGCAAGCGUUAAUCGGAAUUACUGGGCGUAAAGCGUGCGCAGGCGGUUAUAUAAGUCAGAUGUGAAAUCCCCGGGCUCAACCUGGGAACUGCAUUUGAGACUGUAUGGCUAGAGUGUGUCAGAGGGGGGUAGAAUUCCACGUGUAGCAGUGAAAUGCGUAGAUAUGUGGAGGAAUACCGAUGGCGAAGGCAGCCCCCUGGGAUAACACUGACGCUCAUGCACGAAAGCGUGGGGAGCAAACAGGAUUAGAUACCCUGGUAGUCCACGCCCUAAACGAUGUCUACUAGUUGUCGGGACUUAAUUGUCUUGGUAACGCAGCUAACGCGUGAAGUAGACCGCCUGGGGAGUACGGUCGCAAGAUUAAAACUCAAAGAAAUUGACGGGGGCCCGCACAAGCGGUGGAGCAUGUGGUUUAAUUCGAUGCAACGCGAAGAANCCUUACCUGGGCUUGACGUGAACUGNNNNGGUGGNAGA